GAGCGAGAACCAGGGCUUCGGCCCUGGGGACAGCGGCGAACGGGUGAGUAACACGUGGAUAACCUGCCCUCGGCACCGGGAUAGCCCGGGGAAACCCGGAUUAAUACCGGAUGGCCCUUCCGGCUCUCGAGCUGGACGGAAAAGGUAGCUUCGGCCUCCGGCCGAGGAUGGGUCCGCGGCGGAUUAGCUUGUUGGCGGGGUAACGGCCCACCAAGGCGACGAUCCGUAGCUGGUCUGAGAGGACGAUCAGCCACACUGGGACUGAGACACGGCCCAGACUCCUACGGGAGGCAGCAGUGGGGAAUCUUGCGCAAUGGGCGAAAGCCUGACGCAGCGACGCCGCGUGAGGGAAGAAGGCCUUCGGGUUGUAAACCUCUUUCAGGAGGGACGAAGCCACUCGGGUGAACAGCCCAGAGGGUGACGGUACCUCCAGAAGAAGCCCCGGCUAACUACGUGCCAGCAGCCGCGGUAAUACGUAGGGGGCAAGCGUUGUCCGGAUUUACUGGGCGUAAAGAGCGUGUAGGCGGCCUCACAGGUCCGUUGUGAAAACUGAAGGCUUAACCUUCAGAGGUCGACGGAAACCGUGUGGCUAGAGUCCGGAAGAGGAGAGUGGAAUUCCUGGUGUAGCGGUGAAAUGCGCAGAUAUCAGGAAGAACACCAAUGGCGAAGGCAGCU
Molecule: ribosomal RNA, 675 nt
Filed under: uncultured bacterium
Lineage: Bacteria
Description: bacterial SSU rRNA
Rfam family: Bacterial small subunit ribosomal RNA
Source: RNAcentral